AACGCACCUUGCGCUCCUUGGCAUUCCGAGGAGCAUGCCUGUUUGAGCGUCAUCAAAUUCUCAGAAUCCUACAAGUGCUGUAGUACAAGAGGGGGGGGGGAAGGCUCUGCCUAUUGCUGGUUCACUCCAGCGAGGGGGCAGGUGCACCUUGCUCUCUCUCUACUGCAAGUCCCUCAUGUGGGGUGUGGAUUGUGGGGGAUGCGAUCGCUUCGCCUCGUUCUGGGGCACGCCUUUUGCUUCCCUGAAACGAAUUGUGGUGGAUGCCACUGGGUAUGAUAUGUGCAUCUUACCCCCAUGGCAUCUAUCUUGCACAGCCAUGUGCAAUUCUCUUCUUAUUUGACCUCAAAUCAGGCAGGACUACCCGCUGAACUUAA
This 374-nucleotide unclassified non-coding RNA is filed under the name uncultured Agaricomycetes. Its description in RNAcentral is "sequence contains 5.8S rRNA gene, ITS2, 28S rRNA gene". Lineage: Eukaryota; Fungi; Basidiomycota; Agaricomycetes. The record is from RNAcentral.